GCUCCAGUGGCUUAGUGGUUAAAGCGCCCGCCUCAGAUGCAAAAGAUCGCGGAUUAGAAUCCCGGCUGAGUCA
This is a non-coding RNA of Potamilus streckersoni, 73 nucleotides long. The record is from the annotation of a GenBank genome assembly. NCBI's taxonomy places the organism in Eukaryota, Metazoa, Mollusca, Bivalvia, Unionida, Unionidae.